Small nucleolar RNA from Equus asinus (donkey), 81 nucleotides. Lineage: Eukaryota; Metazoa; Chordata; Mammalia; Perissodactyla; Equidae. The record is from Ensembl.
UGGACCUCUCAUGAACCCACCAUGACGCCUGGUGGCAGAUGUCAUAGGUGAUGAACAUGUGUCUGGAACCCUGAGGUCCAA